Molecule: long non-coding RNA, 2173 nt
Filed under: Homo sapiens (human)
Lineage: Eukaryota; Metazoa; Chordata; Mammalia; Primates; Hominidae
Description: HSALNT0212043
Source: RNAcentral
AAGACAUUCACUACACCAGAGGAGACAAAGGAAGCACGUUGCUGUUAUUGCUGUUCAUGGCCUUCUUCCAACAGUAAGGGAAGCUAGUUUGAAGAUAAACUGUACAAAGGAAAGUAAAACAAGAGAAGUGCAGCGAAAUGGUGCCGGAGCCGUGAUGCAGCUACAACCUAGAGUUCUCACAAUCUCUUAAUUUCCUGCUGUCGGCGAUAAAUGUGAUCAUUUUGGCCGAUUUGGUUCAGUUUUUCUGUUCCGUGAAGCUGAAAGCAUCCUGACACAGGGCACACAAUGCUGUUGAAGCCAUCAGAGUACCAGGAUGCUGAUCUCCACGGCAAGUGCCUGAGCAGAGGGAGCUCAGUGAAGAGGAACUGCUCCAGCACUACACAGGCAUUCUUGGUAGCUGGACAGUACUGGACCCAUCACAAUUUCAAUACUGGGAAGAGAAAAGCCAGUCCUCUGGGGAAAGAUGAAGCACUGGACCUACAAACUAACUACUUUCAACCCCUGGAUGAAUCUAGGAGCAGAUUAGUCCCGAUAUCAAGGCAAUGUCAAGAGUGAAGGGGAGGAUCAAGAUUUUUUUUGAGUGAUUGUUUCCUGGAAGGAGAAAAAAAAAUAACAAGAAAAUGACCAUGGAAAGUAACAACAACUGAAAACGGAUAAAAUGAAGAUGUGUGAAAGAGCACAAGAGUGCAAAACCAAAAGUAUACAAGGAGUGUUUAUGCAGUAACCACUUUAGAAUGCCUUUCCUCAUGUUUGAAGACUUCUAAACUAGGGCAAGGACAGAUCCCAGCAACUACUGGAAGCAUAAUAAAGGAGAAGAAUGAGGCAUUUUCUUCUCUCAUAUACAGAUUAUAUGUAAUUAGGAUGCUAAGGAUAAUUUUGUAACAUAAAAACGGAGAUGCUAAGGAGAAUGGUUUCACCCUAGUUUAUAGAAGGAGGGUAUACUAUGGUCUAUCAAAGACUGAAAAUUGUCCUCUGCUAAUAAAGUCUCAAAUCAGGGCAAUUGGAUUUCUUUCUUUUUUUUUUUUUAUUAUACUUUAAGUUUUAGGGUACAUGUGCACAAUGUGAAGGUUUGUUACAUAUGUAUACAUGUUCCAUGUUGGUGUGCUGCACCCAUUAACUCAUCAUUUACAUUAGGUAUAUCUCCUAAUGCUAUCCCUCCCCACUCUCCCAGCCCCACAACAGGUCCUGGUGUGUGAUGUUCUCCUUCCUGUGUCCAUGUGUUCAAUUCCCACCUAUGAGUUGAGUUAGAGUUACUAGUCUCAAAUAAAUGCUUGGUAAUGCCAUACAAUCUAAACAUGUUGUCACUGUCAACUCACUAUCUCAUAUUCUGCAAUGAUACCCUUCUAUAUUCUGAAAUUCCUUCCCCAUUCUCAGCAGAUAGCCUCAGAUCAUAUAUCAUACACACAAUUGAACAUAUCACAUAGAAAUUUCAUCAGCUCACUGCCUCCAAUCCAAUGAACCUAACAUCUACUAACAUCAACACCAUCCAGGAAACCAUGACCUCACCAGAUGAACUAAAUAAGGCACCAGGGAAAAAUACCAGUGAAACAGAGACAUGUGACCUUUCAGACAGAUAAUUCAAAAUAGCUGUGUUGAGGAAACUCAAAUUCAAGAUGAUACAGAGAAGGAAUUCAGAAUUAGAUAAAUUUAACAAAGAGAUUGAAAUAAUUAAGAAUCAAGCAGAAAUUCUGGAGCUGAAAAACGCAACUGGCGUAUUGAGAAAUGCACCAGAGUCUCUUAAUAGCAGAACUGAUCAAGCAGAAGAAUGAAUUAGUGAUGUUGAAGACAGACUAUUGGAAAUGCACAGUCAGAAGAGAAAAAAGAAAAAACAAUGAAGCACGCCUACAGGAUCUAAAAAAUAGCCCCCAAAGGGCAAAUCUAAGAGUUACUGGCCUUAAAGAGGGGGGGCUCAACACCCAAGUACAAAAAGGUUAGAGAACACCAAGUAGAUUUAAUCUAAAGAAGACUACCUUGAAUCGUUUAACAAUUAAACUCCCAAAGGUCAAGGAUAAAGAAAGGAUACUAAAAGAACCAAGAGAAAAGAAACAAGUAACAUACACUAGAGCUCCAGUACACCUGGUAGCAGACUUUUCAGUGGAAACCUUACACACCAGGAGAGUGACAUGGCAUAUUUAAAGUGCUAAAGGGUGGAAAAAAAGCCUUUUACCCUGGA